GCCCUCGUACCUCAUCAGGAUAGAGGAAUCGCCUCCUAAGCGAUCUGUGGUUGGUUCGAGUCCAAUCGAGGGCG
This 74-nucleotide transfer RNA is filed under the name Amedibacillus dolichus DSM 3991. Its description in RNAcentral is "Absiella dolichum DSM 3991 tRNA-Arg". It matches the Rfam family "tRNA". Rfam says of the family: Transfer RNA (tRNA) molecules are approximately 80 nucleotides in length. The record is from RNAcentral. RNAcentral also lists the same sequence under 1 other name. Lineage: Bacteria; Bacillati; Bacillota; Erysipelotrichia; Erysipelotrichales; Erysipelotrichaceae.